Molecule: long non-coding RNA, 6939 nt
Filed under: Octopus vulgaris (common octopus)
Lineage: Eukaryota; Metazoa; Mollusca; Cephalopoda; Octopoda; Octopodidae
Source: RNAcentral
AGGCGAAAAUAUAAAGUGGUGUGUGCGAUGCUGAAGCAGGUUAGUUAAUAAAUACAUAUUAUAUACACUCUCCAGUAUUAUAUUGAUCUGUAUAAUAUAAAUAUUACCAAUGUACCAGUGAAAUAAUGGGGAUGGAUUUAAUCACAUGUACUACAAAACCCUUGUGUUUGUGGAGGAAUUGUAUAUUGAUCAUGUUGAUGUUGAUAUUAGCGGUGUUGACAGUCCAACUGACCACCACCACUGAUAAUAAUAUCUUUAAUGGUCAAAUGAAACUACGUCAUUACGAGAUGAACCAAAAUAUAACAGACAUCAUGUGUAUAUAUGUAUAUACAUAUAUAUAUAUAUAUAUAUUAAUUGUUUCAGGCAUUUGACUGCGGUCAUGCUGGGGCAUCACCUUGAAUUUUUAGUCAAAUGUAUCGAUCCCAGUCCUUUCUUUUAUUUUAAGCAUAUCACUUAUCCUCUCAGCCUCUUUACCGAACCGCUACACACACACACACACAAAUGCAAACACUAACUCACACACACACACAUACAUAGGCACACGCAUAGACACACACCUGUUAUGAAGCUUCUUUCAGUUUUCAUUUACCAAAUCCGCUUAUAAGAUUUUGUUCAGCCCUAGGUAAGGGUAGAAUAUACUUGCCUGAGUUUCCAUGCGGAGGGAUUCAACGUGGAACCGUGUAUGGCUGGGAAAAAAGCUUCUUACACUACAACCAUGUAUAUAUGGAUGUGUGUGUCUAGCUAUUUCUUUCUUUCUAUCUAUCUAUCUAUUUAUCUAUCUAUCUAUCUGUCUAUCUUUCUAUCUAUUUAUCUAUCUAUCUAUCUAUCUAUCUAUCUAUCUAUCUAUCUAUCUAUCUAUUUAUCUAUUUAUCUAUCUAUCUAUCUAUCUAGCUAUCUAUCUGUCUAUCUUUCUAUCUAUCUAUCUAUCUAUCUAUCUAUCUAUCUAUCUAUCUAUCUAUCUAUCUAUCUAUCUAUCUGUCUAUCUUUCUAUCUAUCUAUCUAUCUAUCUAUCUGUCUGUCUGUCUGUCUGUCUGCCUGUCUGUCUAGCUGUCUGCCUGUCUUUCUGUCUCUCUAGCUCUCUCUCUGUCUAUCUGUCUAUCUAUCUAUCUAUUUAUCUAUCUAUCUAUCUAUCUAUCUAUCUAUCUAUCUAUCUAUCUAUCUUUCUAUCUAUCUGUCUAUCUUUCUAUCUAUCUAUCUAUCUAUCUAUCUAUCUAUCUAUCUAUCUAUCUAUAUCUAUCUAUCUCCUUUUCUAUCUAUCUAUCUAUCCUUCUAUCUAUCUAUCUAUCUAUCUAUCUUUUUCUAUCAAUCUAUCUAUCCCCCUAUCUAUCUAUCUAUCUAUCUAUUUUUUUUAAACCUUCAUAUAUAUAUAUAGCUCUACCUUCUAUUUGUUCUAUCUAUCUAUCUAUCUAUCUAUCUAUCUAUCUAUCUAUCUAUCUAUCUGAAAAGAACUGGAACGAGAUAACGAGUAGGGUGGUCUCGCCCGGCAAUGGGCCGAGAGGAAACUGUCCCUAAAAGGUCGGGCGGAGGUGGCGAACACGUACAUCGUGUCCGUCAUCUACUACCGCCUGACCGUCGUACCUUGUCCCGACCCUACCAUCACCAAACUACAACGCAUUCUCUUUCGCUUCUUGUGGAAAGGAUGCGUCCCGAUGGUCAGGCGAUCCAUUUGCUGUCAACACCCGUUAAAAGGAGGGCUGGGCAUGCCGUGGUUGAUGAUGCGCAGACACGCGCUGAGACUGCGGCAUCUCUGGCUCUAUGUAGACGACGGUGAACAGGUGUGGUCGCCGUUUGUGAGGCACGCUUUCCCGCAGCUCGUCUCCAUGACCGAACUGCAGUCGUGGAUCAAAAAGAGGCCGAAGAAGGGCGAAUGGCACCGCGAGUGUCGCGUUGCUCUCAAGCAACUCUGCCGUCCUGGGUCGACCUUGAGUGACUUCAACACAACCAAAGCAUUCUAUAGGGGUUUAGUGGAGGGGAGGUACGACGACGAGCUCGGGGCGAACCUGGACGUCGACGAGGAGUACCUGACCCGCCUGUUCAGGACGACUUUCGGGCCAGGGCCCAUGGACAACUUCCAGAGAUCCCUGGCCUGGCAGUGCUACCGAGAAGCGCUACCCGUUCGGGAUAAGCUCUACAGACACGGCUCGAGAAACACGGGGCCGACCUGCCCGAGAUGCGGUCAGAGCGACGAAACCGUUCUGCACGCACUCGUGCAGUGUCCAACAAUUUCCGACCUGUGGGCUUGUGUCGAACAACUGCUGUCACGUGUGGGACGAGUCGGUUUAUCAGCUGAGUCUAUCGUCAAUAUUGUCACGCCUCCUUCCUUCAAACGGGAAGGAAGAGCUAUUUUCAUCAUCCUUGUGGCUAUGGCGAAAGAAUGUAUCUGGUGGACGCGUCUGAAAGGAUUGGAGACAAACACUUUCCUCUCUGGUCAAUCUCUCAUCAACUUCUUCAAGUACCACUUGAAAAGGAAAGUGAGAGUAGAGAGGCAAGUUUUGUCUAGCGAAUGUUUUAAAAAAAGAUGGGUGAAUGUAGCAAGAAUGGCACGUAUGAAUGACGAAGCCACCUUGAGCAUGAUCCUAUGAACCCAGAAAUCGAAAACAGAGAGUUGCUUAUUUGCAAAAAAAAAAAAAAAAAAAAAGAAAUAUAAAAUGUGACUUCAUUGACCGAGGUUACCGUGGUCUUUUCCGUAGGCUUUUCUUUCCACGGGUAAACCUCACCUGUCCUCCCCUUUACACUUCAUAUUGACAUUUCUGUGAUAACGAUCCCUAUUGAUCAAUUUUUUUUUUUUUUUCCUCUCCCUUUUUUUUAACCCCCUUUUUUUGUCCUCUUUCUCUCCUUUUACGAUCCCUUUUGAUCGAAACUCCCCCUUCCUUUUUUUAUUUUUUUUUUUUAAACCUUCAAAAGAAAAGCUCUACCUUGUAAUUUGUUCUAUCUGUGUGCAGCCCUGUGUGGCUAAUAAAGAAACAUAUCUAUCUACCUAUCUAUCUAUAUAUCUUUCUUUCUAUCUGUCUGUCAAUCUCUCAUCAACUUCUUCAAGUACCACUUGAAAAGGAAAGUGAGAGUAGAGAGGCAAGUUUUGUCUAGCGAAUGUUUUAAAAAAAGAUGGGUGAAUGUAGCAAGAAUGGCACGUAUGAAUGACGAAGCCACCUUGAGCAUGAUCCUAUGAACCCAGAAAUUGAAAACAGAGAGUUGCUUAUUCGCAAAAAAAAAAAAAAAAAGAAAUAUAACAUGUGACUCCAUUGACCGAGGUUACCGUGGUCUUUUCCGUAGGCUUUUCUUUCCACGGGUAAACCUCACCUGUCCUCCCCUUUACACUUCAUAUUGACAUUUCUGUGAUAACGAUCCGUAUUGAUCAAAAAAAAAUUUUUUUUUUGCUCUCCCCCUUUUUUUAACCCCCCUUUUUUUCUCCUCUUUCUCUCCUUUUACGAUCCCUUUUGAUCGAAACUCCCCCUUCCUUUUCUUUUUUUUAAACCUUCCUCUAGCCUGUGUGCUAAUAAAAAUAUCUAUCUAUCUAUCUAUCUAUCUAUCUAUCUAUCUAUAUAUAUAUAUAUAUAUAUAUAUAUAUAUACUGGAGAUGAAUGGAUUUAUGGUUAGAUCGUAUGUGAUCUUCUUCUAGCAUAUGGCUGUCCACAUAGUGGUUUUUAGCCCUAAAUAUACACAUAUAUAUAUAUAUAUAUAUAUAUAUAUAUUAAACAAUGAUAGUUUUGAUUGUUAUUUUCAUAUUUGUGUAUGUCUAUGUCUCUAUUUGUGCGUUAUCACAUCAUCAUCAUCAUCAUCAUCAUCACCAUCAUUAUCAUCAUUUAACAUCCACUCACCAUACUGGCAUGUGUCGGCUGGUUUGACAGGAGAUUAUGAGUCGGUGAGCUGCCCCACGUUCCUGUCUGAUUUGGCAUGGUUUCUACAGCUCGAUGUCCUUCCUAAUGCUAACCACCCCAGGUGUGUAACUGGUGCUUUCAGAUGCCACCGGCACGGGUGCCACUUGCAUGACACCGACAAUGGCCACGACUACGAUUCACGGAUGGUUGCCAUUUAAAUGGCACCACCAACGACGAUAAUUCCCAGGUGCCAAUUUACAUGGCACCAUCGGUGACCACAACUAUGAUACCCAGGUGUCAUUGACAUGGCACCGGAAGCGAACAGCCACGGCUAUGAUGCACGGCUGCCACUUAUAGGACACUGGCACGACCACAUCCUUAUCGUCACUUGGCCUGACAUGUCCUCUCCCGCAGAGAAUAUCACCAGGGCUCUCGGUCACUUGUCAUCUCCUCUAUGAUGUCCAACGGUUGGAGAUCAUUCUUCAUCAACUCAUCGAAAGUCUUCUUGGGUCUCCGUCUUCCAAAGGAUCCUUCCACAGUUAGAGAUCGGCACUUUUUGACACAGCUGUCCAUGUCCAUACACAUCGCAAGACCAUACCAACGCAGACGUCUCUCUUGCACACCCUAUUUGAUGUCUUCAAUGCUCAGCUUUUCUCUCAAGGACUCCUAUACUCUGUCGUACAUGCACACUGACAUUGUACACCCAGCGAGACAUACUGGCUUCAUUUCUUUCAAGCCUAUGGAAGUCCUCAGAGAGGUCACAUCCCAUGUUUCACUGACAUGUAACAUAGUUGUUUACACACAGGCAUCAUAACGUCUGCCUUUCAAUCUCAGGGAGACGCUCUUUGUUACCAUUAGAGUUAAGAUUACUCUGAACUUUGCACAUCUUAUUCUUAUUCUUGCAGCUAUACUCAAGGAACAACCAACCACACUUCUGACUUGGCCACCGAGAUAGCGGAAACUAUCAACUACCAGUAGCUUACCUACCUGGCAAUUGAUGGCUCUAUUUUCUUUACAUUUGUGCUGUUUAUUGUACCUGUGCACCUUCCACACAGAAAAACUAUUAUCCCUGUUAACCUUCCUCUGAUAUUGCUGUAACACUUAUGUGUCCAUACCUUACACUGGGCACAUCUUAUGAACUUCCUACCUACGCUUUUUCUACAGAUCAAACAGUGCCAUCUUCCUAAGGAGAUUUGUGAAUUGUCCGCUUUCCUACUUACUAAGACUGGUUUUUGUUAGACUAAGUUUAGGGUCCUUUGAUUCUAGUCCUUACUGAUAUACCUAAAAUUUACCUAGUUCUGAAAGUUAUUCGGCUAUGAUAACAAGGUCAUCAGCAUUGGGGAUCUCCUAGAAGCAGUCAUCUUAAAUUCCUCUGUUAUUGCCUGGAGGACUCUGAUAAACAGGAAGGCGCUGAGGACUAAUCCAUGAUGAACCCCUACUUGUACCCUAAUUGAUUGCUACACACGAUGCCAAACCUCACCUUACUGACAGCAUCCCUGUACAUGACUUGUAACGCUCUCACCAACCAUUCGUCCAUCCCUAGCUUUUGCAGUGACCAGCAAAUAAGGGAUCGAGGAAUCCUGUCAAAGCCUUUCUCCGUGUUUAACAAAGGCCCAGUACAAGAGUUUAUCUUUGGCUAGGUACAUCUCCUGCAGCUGCCUUAUCAGGAAUAUAGCAUCAGAGGUGCUUCGCUCUGGCACAAAACCAAAUUGCAUCUUCUUCUGGUCUAACACACGUCCUAAUUAUUUUGUCUGUGACCCUCUGAGUAAUUUUCAUUGCUUCAUCUAAUAGUGUGAUACCUCUGUAAUUCUUUCCGUGCAAGCAUCAUCCUCCCUGUAUGUGUGUGUGUGUGUGCGUGUGUAUUUGUAAAUAUUUGGAAUUUGUGUAUACAUUUAGAAGUAUGCCGCUUAAAGAUCUUUCGCUGAUUCGGUUACCUCAUGUCAUCCACAGUUGAGCUAUAAGUGACACUGGAUCUACCUCAUGUAUUCUGCAGUGUUCGUUCAGUUUAUAAUGAAUGAGGGAAGCAGAAAAUGGAGUUAACGAGAAUUUUCAUUCAUCGCAACGAUUGUUUCAAUCCAUCUUGCAUCGGGCCCUUGCAGGUAGGAUAUUGUAUAACUGGUUGUUGUACAUCCUCCGUUGCAGAUGCAUGUCAUCGGGUGUCUUGUUUUAAAGAAGAUACCUCUGUAAAUAUAUUCGGUUUCGCUUGGAAUGUUGUUGUUGCCAGAAGGCUGUUGUCUCUCAUGUUGUAAUCCAAGAAGCUCCUAGCAACAACAUGUCAAGUGAAACUGAAUAUAUUUAGUGAGGUAUCUUUACAUUAAAACAAGGUACCCGAUGAGAUGCAUCUGCACUGGAGGAUGCAACACAACACGUUGUAUAGUAGCCCACCCGCAAGCGACCGUUGCAAGAUGGGUCGAAACGGUCGUUGUGAUGCAUAUUCUCGUGAACUCCGUUUCCCCAAUUCAUUAUAUGUAUUUAUAUAUGUAACACUGAUGUUUAUGUGUGUGUGUGCGUGCGUGCGCAUUAGUUUUAUGCAUGUGGACGCUAACCGGCUCAGCAGUUUUAUGAACCCCUUAUUAAUGUAGCAACGUCAAAAGUAAACAUUAGAAAUUAUAAUUCUUCUUUACUUGACUUGAUCUGCUAAUCAUGUGUUUACUCUAGUUCUGUUGCCCUACAACUUACUAUAGUGAGGGGCAAAUGUAGGACAUCUUAAUAUGUUUAUCAUGUCUCUAACACACACAUGUAUCAGGUUAUAGAAGGUCCUUAUGGAAGAUUUAUUUCACUGACAAACAUCAAAUGUAUUUGAUCAGUUUGAUCUAGUACCCAGUAGAAAACUGUAAUGACAUUGAUAUCAACCCUGAUUUUCAUGUAAAUUUUCAUUUUCCAUUUUUACCUCCACAAAGGAUUCGGUGAAUUUAGAAAUUGUGAACAAAGAAUAUAGGACACCAUUGCUUGAAGCUGUUUCGGACGGUCACCUCGGAAUAAUGCAGCGGCUGAUAGCCAGGGGCACGAAUGUAAAUGUUGUCGAACAUGGAGGAAAUAAUUGCCUGCAUCUGGCGUUAAAAAGAGAAAACAACUUUCAUUCUGAGGUGGAGCACAUGACCAUGUUAGAUCAGGUAAGUUUUCA